CGUCCAUAAGGCUCCAGCCGCUCCAUGCAAAACUCCGAAGUCGGCAGCGUCGUUCUAAUUGCCUACUUUGUAUCACGCUUUCCAUAGCCAUCUCUCAUCCUCCCUCGGCCUAGAGAGCGAAUUCCAGAGUAGGGGCCGUUCGAGGGGAAGGAGGACGAGGGCGACGAAGACUCCGCUGGGGGUGUUGUUGAACCAGCACCAGCAGCAGCAGGAGCAAGAGACGAUGGACGCGGCGGACUUCGUCGCCGGGGUUGGCGUGGAGGUGGACGACGGCGACUCUAUCGAUCUCCUCCUCGACUUCGACAAGCAGCUCCCUCCGGUCGACGCCGACUUUUUCAACUCCUUCGAAGACGAUUUCGACGACCAAGACCUUGCCUGAUCAACGACCAUUCCCUCUUUCUAUUGCUCUCUCCGGUGAUAGGACUUCAAUGCUUUAUCUGUUGCGGAAGAAGUGGAGAUGUUUGGGCUAUUAUUGGAUGUGGCAGUGGAUUUAAAAAUAUUUCAGUUUGCUCGUUACUACAAAUAUAUAUCAGUCUGCCAGUUGAAAUGGUCAUUGUGCUAGAAUAGAAGCUGUAGCCAAACACUAAACUGCGUUCCCCGCAUAUCAACUUCAGUACAGUUUUAUGACUGUAAGAAUGAAUGAAUCGGAUCAUUAGUCACCUUGAUGGUUUGAUUCUAUUUGUAGUUUAAAGAUCAAUUUUCUCAUGUGGUUAAGCAUUUUAUUACCUGUGGCAGAGUAUUUCUUUUCUGGAUAAUUCAUUCAGUCUCAUCUCAUGUAUUAUUUGCACAUACCUGUCGCAGGCACUUCUAGUAAAAUGUGGAUCAAGGAUUUGCAUUA
Molecule: non-coding RNA, 838 nt
Organism: Elaeis guineensis (African oil palm)
Lineage: Eukaryota; Viridiplantae; Streptophyta; Magnoliopsida; Arecales; Arecaceae
Source: RefSeq, a predicted model, not a curated record